AAUCAACGCUGGCGGCGUGCCUAACACAUGCAAGUCGAACGCGAAAGCCCGCAAGGGUAAGUAGAGUGGCGCACGGGUGAGUAACACGUGGACAACCUGCCUUCGAGUGGGGAAUAACCUUCCGAAAGGAGGGCUAAUACCGCAUAACACCUCGGGACACAAGUUCUGGGGUUGGAAAAGAGCAAUUUGCUCGAAGAGGGGUCCGCGCCUGAUUAGCUAGUUGGUGAGGUAACGGCUCACCAAGGCUUCGAUCAGUAGCCGUCCUGAGAGGGAGCACGGCCACACUGGAACUGAGACACGGUCCAGACUCCUAC
Molecule: ribosomal RNA, 314 nt
Filed under: uncultured bacterium
Lineage: Bacteria
Description: bacterial SSU rRNA
Rfam family: Bacterial small subunit ribosomal RNA
Source: RNAcentral